UACGGAGGGGGCAAGCGUUGUUCGGAAUUAUUGGGCGUAAAGCGUAUGUAGGCGGCUAGGUAAGUCAGGCGUGCAAGCCCGUGGCUCAACCACGGAAUUGCGUUUGAUACUGCUUAGCUUGAGUACAGGAGAGGAAAGCGGAAUUCCCAGUGUAGCGGUGAAAUGCAUUGAUAUUGGGAAGAACAUCUGUGGCGAAGGCGGCUUUCUGGUCUGUUACUGACGCUGAGAUACGAAAGCCAGGGUAGCGAACGGG
Molecule: ribosomal RNA, 253 nt
Filed under: uncultured bacterium
Lineage: Bacteria
Description: partial 16S ribosomal RNA
Rfam family: Bacterial small subunit ribosomal RNA
Source: RNAcentral